Molecule: ribosomal RNA, 253 nt
Filed under: uncultured bacterium
Lineage: Bacteria
Description: partial 16S ribosomal RNA
Rfam family: Bacterial small subunit ribosomal RNA
Source: RNAcentral
UACAGAGGGGGCAAGCGUUAUUCGGAAUUAUUGGGCGUAAAGCGUGCGUAGGCGGCUACUUAAGUCGGAUGUGAAAGCCCUUGGCUCAACUGAGGAAGUGCACCCGAAACUGAGUAGCUGGAGUACGAAAGAGGGUCGCGGAAUUCCCGGUGUAGAGGUGAAAUUCGUAGAUAUCGGGAGGAACACCGGUGGCGAAGGCGGCGACCUGGGUCGAUACUGACGCUGAGGCGCGAAAGCGUGGGGAGCAAACAGG